Molecule: transfer RNA, 72 nt
Filed under: Stegodyphus mimosarum
Lineage: Eukaryota; Metazoa; Arthropoda; Arachnida; Araneae; Eresidae
Rfam family: tRNA
About the family: Transfer RNA (tRNA) molecules are approximately 80 nucleotides in length. Their secondary structure includes four short double-helical elements and three loops (D, anti-codon, and T loops). Further hydrogen bonds mediate the characteristic L-shaped molecular structure. tRNAs have two regions of fundamental functional importance: the anti-codon, which is responsible for specific mRNA codon recognition, and the 3' end, to which the tRNAs corresponding amino acid is attached (by aminoacyl-tRNA synthetases). tRNAs cope with the degeneracy of the genetic code in two manners: having more than one tRNA (with a specific anti-codon) for a particular amino acid; and 'wobble' base-pairing, i.e. permitting non-standard base-pairing at the 3rd anti-codon position.
Source: Rfam by way of RNAcentral
GCCUUCGUGGUGUAACGGUAGCACACUCGGCGCGUAUUCGAGAGGGUCUAGGUUCGAGUCCCGGUGAGGACA